GAUGAACGCUGGCGGCGUGCCUAAUACAUGCAAGUCGAGCGAACAGAUGAGGAGCUUGCUCCUCUGACGUUAGCGGCGGACGGGUGAGUAACACGUGGAUAACCUACUUAUAAGACUGGGAUAACUUCGGGAAACCGGAGCUAAUACUGGAUAAUAUAUUGAACCGCAUGGUUCAAUAGUGAAAGACGGUUUUGCUGUCACUUAUAGAUGGAUCCGCGCCGCAUUAGCUAGUUGGUAAGGUAACGGCUUACCAAGGCGACGAUGCGUAGCCGACCUGAGAGGGUGAUCGGCCACACUGGAACUGAGACACGGUCCAGACUCCUACGGGAGGCAGCAGUAGGGAAUAUUCCGCAAUGGGCGAAAGCCUGACGGAGCAACGCCGCGUGAGUGAUGAAGGUCUUCGGAUCGUAAAACUCUGUUAUUAGGGAAGAACAAAUGUGUAAGUAACUAUGCACGUCUUGACGGUACCUAAUCAGAAAGCCACGGCUAACUACGUG
This 497-nucleotide ribosomal RNA is filed under the name uncultured bacterium. RNAcentral describes it as "partial 16S ribosomal RNA". It matches the Rfam family "Bacterial small subunit ribosomal RNA", at positions 28 to 507 of the family's 1533-position model. The record is from RNAcentral.